GUCUAUGGCUGUAGCACCCUGAAUGUGCCUGAUCUCGUCUGAUCUUGGAAGCUAAGCAGGGUUGGGCCUGGUUAGUACCUGGAUGGGAAACCAGAGGUGCACUGAGCCUAACUAAAGUCC
This is a ribosomal RNA of Prolemur simus (greater bamboo lemur), 120 nucleotides long. The record is from Ensembl. Lineage: Eukaryota; Metazoa; Chordata; Mammalia; Primates; Lemuridae.